RNAcentral lists this ribosomal RNA (492 nucleotides) under uncultured bacterium. RNAcentral describes it as "partial 16S ribosomal RNA". It matches the Rfam family "Bacterial small subunit ribosomal RNA", at positions 29 to 507 of the family's 1533-position model. The record is from RNAcentral.
AGUGAACGCUGGCGGUAGGCCUAACACAUGCAAGUCGAACGGCAGCACAGUAAGAGCUUGCUCUUACGGGUGGCGAGUGGCGGACGGGUGAGGAAUACAUCGGAAUCUACUUUUUCGUGGGGGAUAACGUAGGGAAACUUACGCUAAUACCGCAUACGACCUACGGGUGAAAGCAGGGGAUCUUCGGACCUUGCGCGAUUGAAUGAGCCGAUGCCGGAUUAGCUAGUUGGCGGGGUAAAGGCCCACCAAGGCGACGAUCCGUAGCUGGACUGAGAGGAUGAUCAGCCACCCUAGAACUGAGACACGGUCCUGACUCCUACGGGAGGCGGCAGUCGGGAAUAUGUGACAAUGGGCGCAAGCCUGAUCCAGCCAUACCGCGUGGGUGAAGAAGGCCUUCGGGUUGUAAAGCCCUUUUGUUGGGAAAGAAAAGCAGCAGGUUAAUACCCCGCUGUUCUGACGGUACCCAAAGAAUAAGCACCGGCUAACUUCGUG